GGAUCGGUGGCCGAGUGGCUUAAGGCAACGGUUUGCUAAACCGUCGUACUACGUAAGUUGUACCGAGGGUUCGAAUCCCUCCCGAUCCGCCA
This 92-nucleotide transfer RNA is filed under the name Alphaproteobacteria bacterium CG1_02_46_17. RNAcentral's name for it is "tRNA-Ser". It matches the Rfam family "tRNA". Rfam says of the family: Transfer RNA (tRNA) molecules are approximately 80 nucleotides in length. Their secondary structure includes four short double-helical elements and three loops (D, anti-codon, and T loops). Lineage: Bacteria; Pseudomonadati; Pseudomonadota; Alphaproteobacteria. RNAcentral also lists the same sequence under 1 other name. The record is from RNAcentral.